RNAcentral lists this ribosomal RNA (274 nucleotides) under uncultured bacterium. Its description in RNAcentral is "partial 16S ribosomal RNA". It matches the Rfam family "Bacterial small subunit ribosomal RNA", at positions 523 to 796 of the family's 1533-position model. The record is from RNAcentral.
AUACGGAGGGUGCAAGCGUUGUCCGGAUUUAUUGGGUUUAAAGGGUGUGUAGGCGGUGUAUUAAGUCAGUGGUGAAAGCCUGCGGCUCAACCGUAGAACUGCCAUUGAUACUGACACACUUGAGUUUGGUUGAGGUAGGCGGAAUUUAUGGUGUAGCGGUGAAAUGCAUAGAUACCAUAAAGAACACCGAUAGCGAAGGCAGCUUACUAAGCCGAAACUGACGCUGAGGCACGAAAGCGUGGGGAGCGAACAGGAUUAGAUACCCUAGUAGUCC